Monopterus albus (swamp eel) is the source of this 3054-nucleotide long non-coding RNA. RefSeq lists it as uncharacterized. The record is from RefSeq and is a predicted model, not a curated record. The transcript has 6 exons. NCBI's taxonomy places the organism in Eukaryota, Metazoa, Chordata, Actinopteri, Synbranchiformes, Synbranchidae.
AGAGAGAGAGAGAGAUGUCAGAGUGCAGCUCUCCCCCAUGCCAGCAGAGGGCAGCAGAGUCCACCUGAAACCACCUGGGCUACAUCAUAAUAAUCACCUUUAUUUAGCCAACUAUGUUACACGCACAAUUUUGCUUCCGGUACAGAACCAAGGCAGCCAUCUGCAGCGCCAACUCACACCAAUAGCUCUAACCAUAGGGUACAUCCCAGUUCCCUUAUUUUAUCAGUCCUCAUUCGAGUCAGAAGUGGUUCCAGUCUGCCGUCUUGGAGGAUGUCCCAAAGCUCUUAUUCCUGCUCUGAGGAGCGAGGAGGCUGCUGGAGGAGCCGUGAGCAGGAAACACGAGGGCAUCCUUCACAGAAAGAUGUUAUAAACUGACGCCCCUUUAUUGGAAAUCAGUUGGGGAUUGGAUGCUUCAGGUGAAGGAUCAGAGGAAACCACAGCUCAUGUCUCAAAGAACAUCUCUCCUUGCAUUUUUCCUUGCAUCUUAUGUUCGACUAAGAUGCAAGGAAAAGACAAGUGAGAGAAACAUGGAUGCAAAUGAGGGAAUUGGGAUUUACCCCGGACCCACCUGCAGCUUCUCAAUCAGAGCAGAGUUCCUCUUGGCUUUGUUGGUGAAAUCAAAGGAUCCUCUCACCUCCUGCUGGUCUUCAUGUGGUUUGGGGAUGUGUAAGGAGCGAGGAGGUCGUCGUCUGACUGGCUUAUCCUGCAGCGUCGUGCACAGGAGCCGCGCCGCUGAACCUUCCUGCAAGUUCGGCCACAGAGCGCCGGGAGGGAGCCUCCUCCUGAGGAAGGAUGACACCCAGAUCAUUUGGUUGAAGAGGAAGCUGCAGCCCGUCGUUGCUGUGCAGGAUGUCUCCGCCUCCUCCUCCCUGAAGGGAAGUUGAGUCACACAAGCAGAGAAAAUGUCUUCUUUCAUUUCACCUUUUGUUGUUUCUUCACUUCUGCCUUCAAACUGAAGUUUUCAUCACCCUGGUUACAUAACAGUAAAUUGUGAAACUAAUGCCUAUGGUAAAAUUGAAAGGUGCAGCACAGGGGAACAUUUUUUUGAAUGAGGUUUUAAAUUGAGGACUUGUUUCCCGUUGCAGACAGCACUCUGGGAUCUGACACAGUUUUCUUCCAAACAAAAGAAGGUUUAAAGUUUAUGUUGAUGUCAAAGCAAUAAAAUCCUCUUCCCCUUUCAGACAUGUUGCCGUUUAUCUUUUGACCAAUCAGCACUUGGCGGUUUGUCCUCUGAGCAGAAGGAACAGUACGCGGUUGGAGGGGAGGAGUGAAGCAGCUGCGGAGGAAGAAACCUUAUAAGGUGAAAUUAAUGCCACCAGAAAUGUGACCAGAAAGAUGUUGCACAACAUCACAGCUUCAGUCAAUAACACAUGGAAAUGGAAACCCACACCCAGAAAAUCUUCCCUGUGGAAAGACGGACAUCUGAGGCUGUUUCGAGUUGGAACAGAGCUGUGGACUCGAGUCGGACUCGAGUUACAAAUUUCACAACUUUAGAUUUUAGCUGACAAAAUCCAGCAAGUCUUCACCACCACUGACUCACCUCCACCGUCUGACUCUGAUGGGACCAAAGAUUAUACAUCAUGUUAGUUACACACCAACUUGGUGUUCAACCCAACCAUCACAUUCAGCUGUUUGGUCAGCAAAAACAGAAGGCAGCUACAGGAAGCUCAGACGUUAGAAGUGUCCUGUGUGACAGAAACAGCGCACAGAAACACUCCUGAUCAAAUAUUAUUAGUCUUAGUUUCUCUUUCUGGAAGUUCGAACAUUAAAUUUGGUGACGUCACCUAAUGGCCUGCUUAAGACCUGGAUUUGGAUUAGGUCUUGAUGUGGAACCUGGCUUGGGACAUUUUGGUCUUGACAGAGGACUUGGUUAGUUUCUGGUCUUAACUUGGAAUGUGACUUGGGAGCUCGUACUCAGAAACUCUGACUUAGCUGUGACUCGUGUAUUGUGAUGUAAACCAGAGUUCACACCUGCAGACAGUGACACUGAAGUUAAUUUAAUGUGUUUUAUUUGGGGGAAAGUGUUUAAUCACAUGAAACUGCAGAACAUAUUUCACUUGAAUUUAUCUUGAAGUGUUUCUGUAUGUUUUGUGAAAACAAAUCUUCACCUUUUCACUCACUCCAGGGGAGAAUAACUUAAACCUUCAAUGGACAUAUUCAGUUGGAGAAGUCAAAUUAUUGGUACUUAAAACAGUAAACCACUGGACUUGACUCAUCAGACCGAGCGUGGCCUCCCAUCAGUCUACUGUAGUUCCCCAGGUGGCUCUGUGCUGCCACCUGGUGGUUACACUUUCAUCAUAGAGAUUUCCCAAGCAGCUGACAGGCCAGUGAAAGCACCACCUUCAGUCAAUAUUGCCGGAGUGAACAAACAGUGAGGCACUGAAGUGGAGGCUUAAUUAUUUUUGUCAUGGCCUGUGCUUGGCCUGAGCUGAGAGUUGGCAUCAGGCGCCACAGAGACAAAGCAACAUUCCAGCUCCGACCUGCAGCUGUGGUCAAAACAGUCAGCUGCAGAUGAAAGACGACUGAGAGGAACUUUACAUACAGCCCAACUAAGCUGUUCAAGUAAACUCAGUGCGGCCUUGAUUCUGUUGUAUGCUUCUGGUCACAGCAGCUCACUGACACCGGCCUUCACUUGACAUCCAGUCUGUCCCAUGUAGGUCUGUGGUGGGGAGGACGGCGUCAGCUUCACUGGGUCGUUUUGGAAAGUGAGCUGGAGGGAAACGCUGGCAAGCUGAGGAACAGACGCCUGAGAGUGACCAGAGAGUGUGAAGCGGGGCGUUCACGAGCACGGCCUGAUUCAUUUGGAAGCACUGACUGAUUCAAGGACAGAGACCAGGGGUCGCCACAUGUUGACAUUUGACGUGUUUUACGCCUGACUUGAACCCGGGCCGCAGCAGCGAGAGCGCUGCGCCCUAACCACUAGUCUUAUCAGUGCAUCAGUAUCUUUGGAAAACAGUCGUGCUGGAAUGACAGUGCUAUCACUGGGUCUUCACAGCGCCCCCUGCAGGUGGGAGGCUGGACAGCACCUCCAGAGAGCAGAGGUGUAAGACAGGG